This 1273-nucleotide ribosomal RNA is filed under the name Candidatus Taylorbacteria bacterium RIFCSPHIGHO2_02_FULL_45_35. RNAcentral's name for it is "bacterial SSU rRNA". The stretch from base 1 to 855 matches the Rfam family "Bacterial small subunit ribosomal RNA", at positions 70 to 873 of the family's 1533-position model. RNAcentral also lists the same sequence under 1 other name. Lineage: Bacteria; Candidatus Tayloriibacteriota. The record is from RNAcentral.
AAACCUCGGCACUGCCUUGGUUUGGGUAUUGAAGUUUAAGUCAUUGGGUAUUAUUUGGUUAUUUUGUAUCUUGGAGUUUGGUGAUUUCGCAUCGCGUUUCGCGUGAUGCAUCAACCGGCAGACGAGGUAGUAAUAAGUAGGUACGCACCCCAAAGUCGGGCAUAGCUCAUCGAAAGGUGAGGUAAUUCCCGAUGGUCUCCGACCCGAAAGGCGUCGGAGUAAAGAAUUUCGCUUUGGGAGCGGCCUGCUCGGUAUCAGCUAGUUGGUAGGGUAAAAGCCUACCAAGGCUAUGACGCCUAGGGGGGGUGAGAGCCUGUUCCCCACCGAUGGAACUGCGACACGGUCCAUACACCUACGGGUGGCUGCAGUCGAGAAUCUUCCGCAAUGGGCGAAAGCCUGACGGAGCGACGCCGCGUGAUUGAUGAAGUCCUUCGGGAUGUAAAGAUCUUUUAUGAGGGAGGAAGUUAUUGACGGUACCUCAUGAAUAAGGGGUUGCUAAACUCGUGCCAGCAGCAGCGGUAAUACGAGUGCCCCAAGCGUUAUCCGGAAUCAUUGGGCGUAAAGGGUGUGUAGGCGGUAUGGUUAGUCUUCUGUCAAAUUCUUCGGCUUAACCGGGGGUCCGCAGAAGAAACGGCCAUACUUGAGGAUGCGAGAGGUCUAUGGAACUCUAGGUGUAGGGGUGAAAUCCGUUGAUAUCUAGGGGAACACCAAAAGCGAAGGCAAUAGACUGGCGCACUCCUGACGCUGAAACACGAAAGCGUGGGUAGCGAAUGGGAUUAACAACGUUCGCCUGCUUCUUUUUGAAAACACGAAAUUUUCUGGUGAAAAUUUUCUCCGUACGGCGCCAGUCGCGCCUGCCGAGGUUUCCAAAAAGAAGCAGGCUCACUCCAAGGUUUAAGAAUAAGAAGGAGUGGUGCGUAGGGGUACGUAGAACAAUAGUCCCUUUGGUUGAAGAUGUGAUUAUGCACUGAAUGAUGAGGAAGGGAAUUGGACGAGUUAGUCCUUAAAAACUGUUUCUAUCAUGGCCGAAUAAUCGGCACGACAUGUUCGAAAGAACAUGAAUGGCAACCGUCCAGACGAAAGUCUCCACGGUUGCCCUCAUCAUUCAAUGCGUAGUUUGUUUUCAAACAAAGAUAACCUAGCUAUAUGCUGGAAAAGCCGAGUAUCCGAAAGUACUUCGCGAUUACGAAGUGAAAAUCUUUUCGGUGCGGCCAAUCAGCAGGGAAGAAUCAAAGAAAUAGAUAUGGAAGAGUGAUAUGAUAUACCAUCUAAA